UCUUGCCGUUUUCUCCUAUUCAUACCCACCACACUUUCGAUCUCUCACUUUUUUUUCUUUCUGUUAUGUCAAUAUUAAAAUAUCAUGUAAGCCUAUUUGCUAAAGAAGUUUAUGUCUAGGAUGUCUAUCAUGGUUUAUAUAGUUUAAAAGGUUUUGAGAUAAAACAAUCCCCAAUUGCGUUAUUUUAUCAAUUAGCGGUGGUGCAGUGAUGUUCAUUACCAAGUUUGAUUUCUGCAUCAACUCUUGCAAACGAUUCUUAUAACGCAAUAUCCUUAGACAUUAAGAUUCUUCUUUAUUCAUAUUAUUUGCCUAAUAGAUGAAGUUGCAACUUCAGAUAGGAUUCAGAUUAGAUUAGACAAAAUGCUACAUAUAUAUAACAUCUCAGGGAUGUAUCCUUUGAAGAUCAACGUCCAAAGUGGUUAUUGUCUACAACAUUUAAUUAGUGAUAGGAUUAUGUAUAUUGUUGAUUAGUUAAUUAAUUAGAAGCAAUUUGUAAUAAUAUAUAAAUAAAAUUAUUGUAA
Molecule: long non-coding RNA, 521 nt
Organism: Impatiens glandulifera
Lineage: Eukaryota; Viridiplantae; Streptophyta; Magnoliopsida; Ericales; Balsaminaceae
Exons: 2
Source: RefSeq, a predicted model, not a curated record